AUUGAACGCUGGCGGCAGGCCUAACACAUGCAAGUCGAGCGGAUGAAGGGAGCUUGCUCCUGGAUUCAGCGGCGGACGGGUGAGUAAUGCCUAGGAAUCUGCCUGGUAGUGGGGGAUAACGUCCGGAAACGGGCGCUAAUACCGCAUACGUCCUGAGGGAGAAAGUGGGGGAUCUUCGGACCUCACGCUAUCAGAUGAGCCUAGGUCGGAUUAGCUAGUUGGUGGGGUAAAGGCCUACCAAGGCGACGAUCCGUAACUGGUCUGAGAGGAUGAUCAGUCACCCUGGAACUGGGACACGGUCCAGGCUCCUACGGGAGGGAGCAGUGGGGAAUAUUGGACAGUGGGCGAAAGCCUGAUCCAGCCAUGCCGCGUGUGUGAAGAAGGUCUUCGGAUUGGAAAGCACUUUAAGUUGGGAGGAAGGGCAGUAAGUUAAUACCUUGCUGUUUUGACGUUACCAACAGAAUAAGCACCGGCUAACUUCGUG
This 484-nucleotide ribosomal RNA is filed under the name uncultured bacterium. Its description in RNAcentral is "partial 16S ribosomal RNA". It matches the Rfam family "Bacterial small subunit ribosomal RNA", at positions 30 to 507 of the family's 1533-position model. The record is from RNAcentral.